Molecule: long non-coding RNA, 1179 nt
Organism: Centruroides sculpturatus (bark scorpion)
Lineage: Eukaryota; Metazoa; Arthropoda; Arachnida; Scorpiones; Buthidae
Exons: 3
Source: RefSeq, a predicted model, not a curated record
UUUUUUAACGAUGCUACACCACGAAAUGAUGAAUUUUGUGGGCUUAACGUGCUUUACUUGUUCUCAAUCUUCCUUCUAAUUACAAUUUGCUAUCAACAAAUCGUUCCUCGAAUACACUUUUGUUGAAUAAUCGGUCUCGUCGUCAUACUAAGCUAAUCAACGAUAACUUGCAGUUAAGCUUUGGAACUCUCCCAAAAACACAUCUGUCAUCCUGUUUAUUUCCAUCAUGUAACCAAAUAACAGGAAAACAUCACUUUCGAACACCCACAAAGUGAUCUUUCAAUAUCCACCGUGGGCUCGGUUAGGUCGACAAUGGAAUCCGGUGAAUGACGGAGCUCAACAUAUCUGGAACUGACCUCCCAAAAAAAAUUUGUGGGGAGUUGCUAGCUCAAAAUACGAUCCCAGGUCCCCAGAGCGAUAAGACGAUGCUUUAAAUCGCUUAGACCAGAGCUAUCCGGCUGAAAAGGAAAUACUCUUGUUCAUAUAAUUCGAGAAAGAUAUUUUCCCCAAAUAUGGUUUUCUUUCGAUAUUGUAAUCCAAGAAACAAAUACAGAAGAAUGUGGUAUUUUUACGAGUCGCUCUGACUGCCGAAAAUCUACGAUAAUACGGUAUAGUACAGAUUACAGUUUAAAAUUUCGUUACAAAUUACGUUCGAACAGGUGGCCAUUCUCAGCGAAGCAGUAAUAAAGCCUGUGCUUAAGUUAAAUAAGAUCACCGCCUCAUCGGAUCACGUGGAAUUUUUCGGGUUUUAUUCGUGUGUCUAACACACUUAAAUAGGGGUUAAAUAUCAUUAAACUUAUUUUUAAUUCUCUCUGAUCAAUUGCCGCUUUAGAAUUAAAAUAAAUGGACCGUUUUAGUUAUUCACAUCACCUAAAACACUAACCAGGCCUAAUAAAUUUGUUAAGUCCAUUACAGCAUAUCUGUCAUAAAGCUGGGAAAAUAAAUCAAUUCAGUGAAUAUGUCAUUACAGACUUAAUUGAAAAACAAUGAUAUUUUUCGUUUAAAAAUGAAACGAAAUGUAUAUAAUAAUUUGAAACAAAGAGUGCAUUUUAUAGUAAAGUGAAAUUAAAUACCGAUUUCGCAAGAAGUAAUUAAACUCGAUAAUUCAAUACUCUACAACGACAAAAUUAAUGAUUACAGAAGCGGAUGUAUUUUUUUAUUUUAUAAUUUCACGAAUAA